This 2908-nucleotide ribosomal RNA is filed under the name Salmonella enterica subsp. enterica serovar Gallinarum. Its description in RNAcentral is "23S ribosomal RNA". It matches the Rfam family "Bacterial large subunit ribosomal RNA". The record is from RNAcentral. RNAcentral also lists the same sequence under 1 other name. Lineage: Bacteria; Pseudomonadati; Pseudomonadota; Gammaproteobacteria; Enterobacterales; Enterobacteriaceae.
GGUUAAGCGACUAAGCGUACACGGUGGAUGCCCUGGCAGUCAGAGGCGAUGAAGGGCGUGCUAAUCUGCGAUAAGCGCCGGUAAGGUGAUAUGAACCAUUAUAACCGGCGAUACCCGAAUGGGGAAACCCAGUGUGACUCGUCACACUAUCAUUAACUGAAUCCAUAGGUUAAUGAGGCGAACCGGGGGAACUGAAACAUCUAAGUACCCCGAGGAAAAGAAAUCAACCGAGAUUCCCCCAGUAGCGGCGAGCGAACGGGGAGGAGCCCAGAGCCUGAAUCAGCAUGUGUGUUAGUGGAAGCGUCUGGAAAGGCGCGCGAUACAGGGUGACAGCCCCGUACACAAAAGCGCAUGUGCUGUGAGCUCGAUGAGUAGGGCGGGACACGUGGUAUCCUGUCUGAAUAUGGGGGGACCAUCCUCCAAGGCUAAAUACUCCUGACUGACCGAUAGUGAACCAGUACCGUGAGGGAAAGGCGAAAAGAACCCCGGCGAGGGGAGUGAAAAAGAACCUGAAACCGUGUACGUACAAGCAGUGGGAGCACAGGUUUACCUGUGUGACUGCGUACCUUUUGUAUAAUGGGUCAGCGACUUAUAUUCUGUAGCAAGGUUAACCGUAUAGGGGAGCCGUAGGGAAACCGAGUCUUAACCGGGCGUUAAGUUGCAGGGUAUAGACCCGAAACCCGGUGAUCUAGCCAUGGGCAGGUUGAAGGUUGGGUAACACUAACUGGAGGACCGAACCGACUAAUGUUGAAAAAUUAGCGGAUGACCUGUGGCUGGGGGUGAAAGGCCAAUCAAACCGGGAGAUAGCUGGUUCUCCCCGAAAGCUAUUUAGGUAGCGCCUCGUGAAUUCAUCUCCGGGGGUAGAGCACUGUUUCGGCUAGGGGGCCAUCCCGGCUUACCAACCCGAUGCAAACUGCGAAUACCGGAGAAUGUUAUCACGGGAGACACACGGCGGGUGCUAACGUCCGUCGUGAAGAGGGAAACAACCCAGACCGCCAGCUAAGGUCCCAAAGUCAUGGUUAAGUGGGAAACGAUGUGGGAAGGCCCAGACAGCCAGGAUGUUGGCUUAGAAGCAGCCAUCAUUUAAAGAAAGCGUAAUAGCUCACUGGUCGAGUCGGCCUGCGCGGAAGAUGUAACGGGGCUAAACCAUGCACCGAAGCUGCGGCAGCGACGCUGAUGCGUUGUUGGGUAGGGGAGCGUUCUGUAAGCCUGUGAAGGUGGCCUGUGAGGGUUGCUGGAGGUAUCAGAAGUGCGAAUGCUGACAUAAGUAACGAUAAAGCGGGUGAAAAGCCCGCUCGCCGGAAGACCAAGGGUUCCUGUCCAACGUUAAUCGGGGCAGGGUGAGUCGACCCCUAAGGCGAGGCCGAAAGGCGUAGUCGAUGGGAAACGGGUUAAUAUUCCCGUACUUGGUGUUACUGCGAAGGGGGGACGGAGAAGGCUAUGUUGGCCGGGCGACGGUUGUCCCGGUUUAAGCGUGUAGGUGUGUGUUCCAGGUAAAUCCGGUUCACUUUAACACUGAGGCGUGAUGACGAGGCACUACGGUGCUGAAGCAACAAAUGCCCUGCUUCCAGGAAAAGUCUCUAAGCAUCAGGUAACAUCAAAUCGUACCCCAAACCGACACAGGUGGUCAGGUAGAGAAUACCAAGGCGCUUGAGAGAACUCGGGUGAAGGAACUAGGCAAAAUGGUGCCGUAACUUCGGGAGAAGGCACGCUGACACGUAGGUGAAGUGAUUUACUCAUGGAGCUGAAGUCAGUCGAAGAUACCAGCUGGCUGCAACUGUUUAUUAAAAACACAGCACUGUGCAAACACGAAAGUGGACGUAUACGGUGUGACGCCUGCCCGGUGCCGGAAGGUUAAUUGAUGGGGUCAGCGCAAGCGAAGCUCCUGAUCGAAGCCCCGGUAAACGGCGGCCGUAACUAUAACGGUCCUAAGGUAGCGAAAUUCCUUGUCGGGUAAGUUCCGACCUGCACGAAUGGCGUAAUGAUGGCCAGGCUGUCUCCACCCGAGACUCAGUGAAAUUGAACUCGCUGUGAAGAUGCAGUGUACCCGCGGCAAGACGGAAAGACCCCGUGAACCUUUACUAUAGCUUGACACUGAACAUUGAGCCUUGAUGUGUAGGAUAGGUGGGAGGCUUUGAAGCGUGGACGCCAGUCUGCAUGGAGCCGGCCUUGAAAUACCACCCUUUAAUGUUUGAUGUUCUAACGUGGACCCGUGAUCCGGGUUGCGGACAGUGUCUGGUGGGUAGUUUGACUGGGGCGGUCUCCUCCUAAAGAGUAACGGAGGAGCACGAAGGUUGGCUAAUCCUGGUCGGACAUCAGGAGGUUAGUGCAAUGGCAUAAGCCAGCUUGACUGCGAGCGUGACGGCGCGAGCAGGUGCGAAAGCAGGUCAUAGUGAUCCGGUGGUUCUGAAUGGAAGGGCCAUCGCUCAACGGAUAAAAGGUACUCCGGGGAUAACAGGCUGAUACCGCCCAAGAGUUCAUAUCGACGGCGGUGUUUGGCACCUCGAUGUCGGCUCAUCACAUCCUGGGGCUGAAGUAGGUCCCAAGGGUAUGGCUGUUCGCCAUUUAAAGUGGUACGCGAGCUGGGUUUAGAACGUCGUGAGACAGUUCGGUCCCUAUCUGCCGUGGGCGCUGGAGAACUGAGGGGGGCUGCUCCUAGUACGAGAGGACCGGAGUGGACGCAUCACUGGUGUUCGGGUUGUCAUGCCAAUGGCACUGCCCGGUAGCUAAAUGCGGAAGAGAUAAGUGCUGAAAGCAUCUAAGCACGAAACUUGCCCCGAGAUGAGUUCUCCCUGAGACUUAGAGUCUCCUGAAGGAACGUUGAAGACGACGACGUUGAUAGGCCGGGUGUGUAAGCGCAGCGAUGCGUUGAGCUAACCGGUACUAAUGAACCGUGAGGCUUAACCUU